GGGGGUGUAGCUCAAUGGUAGAGCACUUGCUUAGCAUGCCUGAAGCUCUGGGUUCCACCCCCAGCAUCUACA
This 72-nucleotide transfer RNA is filed under the name Cavia porcellus (domestic guinea pig). It matches the Rfam family "tRNA". Rfam says of the family: Transfer RNA (tRNA) molecules are approximately 80 nucleotides in length. Their secondary structure includes four short double-helical elements and three loops (D, anti-codon, and T loops). Lineage: Eukaryota; Metazoa; Chordata; Mammalia; Rodentia; Caviidae. The record is from Rfam by way of RNAcentral.